This 497-nucleotide ribosomal RNA is filed under the name uncultured bacterium. Its description in RNAcentral is "partial 16S ribosomal RNA". It matches the Rfam family "Bacterial small subunit ribosomal RNA", at positions 28 to 507 of the family's 1533-position model. The record is from RNAcentral.
GAUGAACGCUGGCGGCGUGCCUAACACAUGCAAGUCGAGCGGACGGACGAGGCUUUUGCUUCUCUGCUGUUAGCGGCGGGCGGGUGAGUCACACGUGGAUACCCUCUCUAUGAGACUUAGAUCACUUCGGGAGCCCGGAUAUAACACCGGAUAAUAUUUUGAACCGCAUGGUUCAACAGUGAAAGACGGUUUUGCUGUGACUUAUACAUGGAUCCGCGCUGCAUUAGCUAGUUGGUAAGGUAACGGCUUACCAAGGCAACGAUGCAUAGCCGACCUGAGAGGGUGAUCGGCCACACUGGAACUGAGACACGGUCCAGACUCCUACGGGAGGCAGCAGUAGGGAAUCUUGCACAAUGGGCGAAAGCCUGACGGAGCAACGCCGCGUGAGUGAUGAAGGUCUUCGGAUCGUAAAGCUCUGUAAUUAGGGAGGAACAGAUGUAUAAGUAACUGUGCAUGUCUUGACGGUACCUAAUCAAAAAGCCACGGCUAACUACGUG